RNAcentral lists this ribosomal RNA (570 nucleotides) under Escherichia coli. Its description in RNAcentral is "partial 23S ribosomal RNA". It matches the Rfam family "Bacterial large subunit ribosomal RNA", at positions 671 to 1239 of the family's 2925-position model. Lineage: Bacteria; Pseudomonadati; Pseudomonadota; Gammaproteobacteria; Enterobacterales; Enterobacteriaceae. The record is from RNAcentral.
GGGAAACCGAGUCUUAACCGGGCGUUAAGUUGCAGGGUAUAGACCCGAAACCCGGUGAUCUAGCCAUGGGCAGGUUGAAGGUUGGGUAACACUAACUGGAGGACCGAACCGACUAAUGUUGAAAAAUUAGCGGAUGACUUGUGGCUGGGGGUGAAAGGCCAAUCAAACCGGGAGAUAGCUGGUUCUCCCCGAAAGCUAUUUAGGUAGCGCCUCGUGAAUUCAUCUCCGGGGGUAGAGCACUGUUUCGGCAAGGGGGUCAUCCCGACUUACCAACCCGAUGCAAACUGCGAAUACCGGAGAAUGUUAUCACGGGAGACACACGGCGGGUGCUAACGUCCGUCGUGAAGAGGGAAACAACCCAGACCGCCAGCUAAGGUCCCAAAGUCAUGGUUAAGUGGGAAACGAUGUGGGAAGGCCCAGACAGCCAGGAUGUUGGCUUAGAAGCAGCCAUCAUUUAAAGAAAGCGUAAUAGCUCACUGGUCGAGUCGGCCUGCGCGGAAGAUGUAACGGGGCUAAACCAUGCACCGAAGCUGCGGCAGCGACACUGUGUGUUGUUGGGUAGGGGAGCGU